GAUGAACGCUGGCGGCGUGCCUAAUACAUGCCAGUCGAGCGAACGGACGAGAAGCUUGCUUCUCUGAUGUUAGCGGCGGACGGGUGAGUAACACGUGGAUAACCUACCUAUAAGACUGGGAUAACUUCGGGAAACCGGAGCUAAUACCGGAUAAUAUUUUGAACCGCAUGGUUCAAAAGUGAAAGACGGUCUUGCUGUCACUUAUAGAUGGAUCCGCGCUGCAUUAGCUAGUUGGUAAGGUAACGGCUUACCAAGGCAACGAUGCAUAGCCGACCUGAGAGCGUGAUCGGCCACACUGGAACUGAGACACGGUCCAGACUCCUACGGGAGGCAGCAGUAGGGAAUCUUCCGCAAUGGGCGAAAGCCUGACGGAGCAACGCCGCGUGAGUGAUGAAGGUCUUCGGAUCGUAAAACUCUGUUAUUAGGGAAGAACAUAUGUGUAAGUAACUGUGCACAUCUUGACGGUACCUAAUCAGAAAGCCACGGCUAACUACGUG
Molecule: ribosomal RNA, 497 nt
Filed under: uncultured bacterium
Lineage: Bacteria
Description: partial 16S ribosomal RNA
Rfam family: Bacterial small subunit ribosomal RNA
Source: RNAcentral